UCUGGGACUUUCAUCCCCAAAAUGGCCCGAGAGUUCUCUCCCCUAUUCUGCCAUGUGAGGGACACAGGGAGAAGGUGCCAUCCAUGAACCAAGAAGCCAGCCCUGCACGGACCCUGAAUCCGCCUGCAUCUUGAUCUUGGACCUCCAGCCUCCAGAGCUGUGAACAACAGGCCUCUGCUGUUGUAGCUUCCCGUCUGCGAUACUCGGUUCUAGCAUCUCAACAGACCAAGACACGCUCCAAUUUGCCAAUGUUUGAAGCAGGGUAUGUGAGAAAAAGGGCAUGAACCUCCGCCAUUCUCUGAACAACAACGUUUUUGCCAUUUCCUAAGACACAGGAGAGCUAGGGAGAAGAAAGUUGGUGCCUGGGAUCAAUACUUUAGUUUUGGACAUGGUAAAUUUAAGAGAUCCAAUUCAGAAGUCAACUAGCCCAGGGGAAUGAAGAAAACUGAGCCCAUUAGUCUAGAAAAUUAAUAUUUACACAUGAUUCAUUCGAAGAACUAGGAAGGCUCGUGCUGACUCUUACUUCUCCUGAAAUUGCAUUUUCACUCAUAGAAUAAAGGCAGUUUAUGAAAUAAGACAUAUCAUUAAUUUCUUCAACUUUUUUGUAAUUUGUAAUAUAUGUGAUGCAUCAUAAACUUUCAUUUCAGUAUGAAAAUGUGUUUCUGUAUUAUUUUCUUUGAAUAGCAACAAAACGACAGAAAACAAGUCGCUAAGAUAAUUAUUUGGGAAUUCUAUUUAAAGACUAUCUUUUGAAGAAGUGGAGAUCUGACUCAUAAGUUGUUUUCUAUACAGCAUCGCAUUAAAGCCUCAGGAC
RNAcentral lists this long non-coding RNA (814 nucleotides) under Homo sapiens (human). RNAcentral describes it as "non-protein coding lnc-ADARB2-12:1". Lineage: Eukaryota; Metazoa; Chordata; Mammalia; Primates; Hominidae. The record is from RNAcentral.